GUAAUCGCCCCGCAAUACGAAAGACCCCGUACCGGUCGCCGGUACGGGGUCUUUUUGUUCUUUCCUGU
RNAcentral lists this small RNA (68 nucleotides) under Paenibacillus sp. P22. RNAcentral's name for it is "ctRNA". Lineage: Bacteria; Bacillati; Bacillota; Bacilli; Caryophanales; Paenibacillaceae. The record is from RNAcentral.